CCAGACUCCUACGGGAGGCAGCAGUGAGGAAUAUUGGUCAAUGGGCGAGAGCCUGAACCAGCCAAGUCGCGUGAGGGAUGACUGCCCUAUGGGUUGUAAACCUCUUUUGUAUGGGGGGAAUAAGCUUUACGAGUAGAGUGAUGACAGUACCAUACGAAUAAGCAUCGGCUAACUACGUGCCAGCAGCCGCGGUAAUACGUAGGUGGCAAGCGUUAUCCGGAUUUACUGGGUGUAAAGGGCGUGUAGGCGGGACUGCAAGUCAGAUGUGAAAAUUAUGGGCUCAACCCAUAACCUGCAUUUGAAACUGUAGUUCUUGAGUGAUGGAGAGGCAGGCGGAAUUCCGUGUGUAGCGGUGAAAUGCGUAGAUAUACGGAGGAACACCAGUGGCGAAGGCGGCCUGCUGGACAUUAACUGACGCUGAGGCGCGAAAGCGUGGGGAGCAAACAGGAUUAGAUACCCCGGUAU
Molecule: ribosomal RNA, 465 nt
Filed under: uncultured bacterium
Lineage: Bacteria
Description: bacterial SSU rRNA
Rfam family: Bacterial small subunit ribosomal RNA
Source: RNAcentral